Molecule: ribosomal RNA, 400 nt
Filed under: uncultured bacterium
Lineage: Bacteria
Description: bacterial SSU rRNA
Rfam family: Bacterial small subunit ribosomal RNA
Source: RNAcentral
UGGGGAAUUUUGGACAAUGGGCGCAAGCCUGAUCCAGCCAUGCCGCGUGUGUGAAGAAGGCCUUCGGGUUGUAAAGCACUUUCGGACGGAACGAAAUCGCGCGGGCGAAUAUCCCGCGUGGAUGACGGUACCGUAAGAAGAAGCACCGGCUAACUACGUGCCAGCAGCCGCGGUAAUACGUAGGGUGCGAGCGUUAAUCGGAAUUACUGGGCGUAAAGUGUGCGCAGGCGGCCGCGCAAGUCGAGUGUGAAAGCCCCGGGCUUAACCUGGGAACUGCGCUCGAAACUACGUGGCUGGAGUGUGGCAGAGGGAGGUGGAAUUCCACGUGUAGCGGUGAAAUGCGUAGAGAUGUGGAGGAACACCGAUGGCGAAGGCAGCCUCCUGGGCCAACACUGACGCU